Molecule: long non-coding RNA, 804 nt
Organism: Oryzias melastigma (Indian medaka)
Lineage: Eukaryota; Metazoa; Chordata; Actinopteri; Beloniformes; Adrianichthyidae
Exons: 3
Source: RefSeq, a predicted model, not a curated record
GGCUGAGGAGACUCUCCGCGCUCCUGCUCCUCUCCGUCUCUCUCCCUCACUUCUCUGGUUGUCCCCCCUCCCUCCGUCUCUUACAUCACUUCGGUAUUGGCGUCAGAACUCAGCCAAGUAUCGGUAAUGUUAUGGUCUGUACGCUACCGUGGGAGCUUUCAGUUGUGGUUGAUGGGAAGAGGGGCGGAGUUGUCCAGUGUCAACCACAACUCAGAGAAACCCAUUCUUCAGCACAAGACAAGCCUGUGGAUGCAUCGGAGCGGAAAGACUGAGCCCAACACAAGAAUUACCAGACGUCUGCAGAAUUUCAGCCUCAUCACAACCAGUCUGAGAGCCACGACUUCCUCUUCUCCAACCGUUUCUGUGAUGUUAGAGGAAAAAAACCCUGAAAGUGUAAAGAGAAAGCACUAAUAUGUAUGCAAGUCUCAUGUAUUUGUGUAGUUUCAGAAGUCUAAUACAUCCAUUAGCUGCUUCUUUGAGUUCUGACCCAUUCCAUGCUCACCUGUUGUCUGUGAUACUCCAAUGUUUUCAGGCUGUGACCCAUUUCAGCUACCGUACUCUUCUGACCCGAAGCAUCACCGUCUGUCUGCUGUUGAAUCGACAUGCUCCCAAAUGUAACACAAAUGUAAGAACUUAUCAUAAAGACCACGAAAUCGGGUUGCUGCACUUUUCAUUUCAUGCAGGAUGAUGGUUUUCCUCAACUUUGAAGGUUUUCUGUCAUUUUGUUGGUGCCUUUUUGGUUUUACUGUAAUAAAAAUAAUGUUUGUGAGAACAUCUCCAAUGUUUUUUGGGUCAUUUAUUGAG